Myotis myotis is the source of this 1142-nucleotide long non-coding RNA. RefSeq lists it as uncharacterized. NCBI's taxonomy places the organism in Eukaryota, Metazoa, Chordata, Mammalia, Chiroptera, Vespertilionidae. The record is from RefSeq and is a predicted model, not a curated record. The transcript is spliced from 3 exons.
CCGCAUGUGGCUCGAGAGCCGCAGUUUGCCUUGGCAACUGGUAAAACAAGGUUUGACUCUCGGGGUGGGGGUGUGCUCUGUAUUUGAGAUGCAAAUGUAGGUACCAUCAGCAUGUAAAUGUAUUUGAUGCCUGGAAAAAGGUGAGAUUAACCAGUGGAGAGUUGGGGGAGGGGAGACUGUGAGAGACCUUGGAUGGAACCCAGCGGAGAUUUCACAAAUGGAAUAGCUGGACGAGCAGGAAGCUGGUCCCUGCUGAGUCAGAGGCUGGCAUCCUCAGAACAUGCUCAUUCCUGCGAGCUUCUCUCCAUCCUUGCCCCAGUCAGCCUUCAGGCCAACUGGACUUUUCUGGAAGCUCAAAAAUCUUUAGUGAAAGAUGGAGUCGAAAGAGAACCAGAGAGAUCGUGGUGUGAGAAGGAUUCAGCCCAAUGUUGCUGGCUAUGAAGAUGGAAUAAGGGGCCACAAUCAGGGAAAACAGGAGUCUUCUGGAAGCUGGAAAAGGGGAGACAGACUUCCUGGCCAGUGGAGCAGCCCUGAAUACCAGAAGGCGGUGGAUUGAAGUGGGAUGCUGUCAGUGGGCUGGAAACGGUUCCCAAGCUUCAGGUGAACUCAGAGGUGGACCAGGCAUCCAUAGUGUCAACAGCCUCUGCCACAGCACCCAGCUGUAAGCAGCCAAGCCAGGAUUUAAACUGGGCUGUGUCUGCUUGGAGCCCACGCGCCUAACCCAGAGGACUUCCCUGCAACACUUGAGUCCAUUCAGUGUCCCUCUUUGUGAAAUUCUCUGGGUUUGAUGUUAGCUCUUUUCUCAUUCUCCCUCAAACCUUUUUGGCUACAUCUUAUUCAGUUUUGAUAUGUCCUCUUUCCGUGUCUGACUCCUAUCCACACACCCCAGCACUGAUGUUCAUCAGGUUGUCUUUGACUUUCUCAUACUCUUCCUUCUGGAGCCAUGCUGUCCAAUAAAUACGGUAAGCCAACCCCACAAGUGGCUAUCAAAUGCUUAGAAUGUCAACUGAGAUGUUCUCUCAGUGGAAAAAAUGCACUGGAUUAUGAAGACUUGAAAAAAAAAGAAAAGAAAAAUUAUCUCAAUAGCAUUUAUAUUGAUUCAUCUUGAAAUGUAGUAUUUUAGAUAUGUUGGAUUAUAUAAA